UCUUAUUGUACAUAGGAUUAUGAUAGUCUUGUAAUAGAAGUACAGAAAAAUAAGUCAAUGUUAGAUGGAAGGAAAGUGUGAUCUGUCUUCAAAAAGAGCUCAUAGGAUGCUUUACUGAGUGCAUGGCAGUGAGGCAUUCUGGGAUCAAGGAAUACUCCAGAAGAUUUCCCCCCCCCCACACCCCACCCCCCAGGGAAAGUGCGAACACAGUACCCCACUACCACAAAUUAUGCAGUCCAGUUUCCUGCAUUUGGGAAAAUCGCAGGGGUCAGCAUAUCCACAGUGCAAUGGAUAAGCCUCGCCCUGGGAAAACCACACUCUAGAAGAUCUUAAUAGAAGAGGCUUAGAAACAAGGAGUGGAGUUUGCAUUUGGAGCUGGGUUGCAAAACAACAAAAAUAAUAGCAACAACAAAACAGAAACAAGACAAAACACCAAAAUAAAUCCCAACAACAACAGCAGCAGCAACAACAAAACCCUAUUUUUUAAAUCAUACUGGGUCAUGAGGGAGUUUUAGUCCACUCUACAGAAAAAUCAGUAGGGCUUGUGUGACAGAUUUGGAAUGAGGAAAACAGCAUGUCCAGUGAUCAAAAUAGGAAUCUGAGAACAUGUUUUCAGACUCUAUCUAUGUAAAUGGAAGGCACAAGAGGAAUGAAGCAUACACCAGACUAGGGAAUGCAGCACAGACCAGAUCUUGCAGGAAAUGGGUAAGUCUCAUGCAGCCACUUUAAAGCUGGCAUUUUUUAUGGGAAUGAAAAUCCCAGUCAGGAAAACUUCACUGAUAGAUAAUGGGCAGUGUAGGAUAGAUCCCAAUUUAUUUUAGGCCUCACUUUGGCUGUCUAGAAUUGCAACAAGGGUGCAUAGCAUUAAGUAGCUACUGUACAAGUGCAUAGUAAAUUUAUGUUAUCUUAAAUUAGCAAACUCAUGGUGGUAAGUGAGAGAAAAAGACAAAUAUUAAAGAUACUUAAAUAAACAAAUAUAUAUAUACACAUACACACACACACGCACACACACACACACACACACACAUAUAUAUAUAUAUAUAUACAUACAUAUAUAUAUAUAUAUAUAUAUAUAUAUAUAUAAUUUAGAGUAUGAAAAAUUUGAUGGGUGAAACAUGGGAUGUUUACAAAAGUUAGUUGACUAUCAGAGCAUGAGAGCAAAUGACUUGCAGAGGUAUAGCUCAGCACAUAAAUUCCAUUGCUAAAAUAUGCAGAUUAGAAAAGAUUAUUGCAAUUUCACUAUUGUUCUUUUCAGAAUCUCUAAAACAAUGUCACAUAAUUAGUAUUCUGAUUUGUGGAAUGAUGCUACUGAGUGCAUUAGAACAUAAUAAGUUGACAUUUCCUGAAAGUUGUUUUAUAAUUUAGUCUUAUCACUAAUUCUGAUUUAUUCUCUCCACAAUCCCCACUCAAAUCCCAAUAGGUUUUUUUGGAUCUUUAGAUCAUUUUAAAAGGUUUUGUGUCUUAUUUCCUGUCAACAUUGGCUGUUCAGGCUACAUCUCUCCACCCCUGGAAGCAUGCCCAUCCACAAAGAGCUACUGCUUUUUAUGUCUCAUAAGUUUUAUUACUGAAUUGGCUUAGCAUUUUCAAAAUAAUUUUAAUGUUUGUGAUAUUUUAAAGACUCUUGGUUAUCUCAUUUCACAAGGUGAAUGUGCUUGGAUCCUACAGUUAUCAUGGUUAAAGAGACAAAGAAUAGUAUUGGCUUGCUAACAUUUAUACAUUCAUGUUUUUUCACUUUUCAAAUCAAAGAAGAUUCUAUCUAAUGCGCUAUGGCAUUCUAUGAUUAUUUAACUUAUUACUUAUGGCAGCUAAAGGGCUUCUGCUUUCCAGUUCUCUUGUAGCACUUAGCUCUUUUGUAAUUAAUAUUUUCAUUUCCCAUAUGGAUCAAGUGCCUGAAAGAAAUUUUAUCUGGAAAAAAAUUCUGCAUAAUAUUCUAGUACACUUCAAUUUAUUUAGUGAUUCAUCUGUGCUGUUUAUUUUUAUUAAACAAACUAGGCCAGGAUAUUAGUUUUGAACUCUUGCUCUAAGACAAGGGUUUGUUCUACAGAGUCAAUGCCAGGUCACAGAGAGUUCAGUGAGACACAUCUCAUUGAGGCAUUACCCAGUGUGUCUUGUGCCCAGGUUAAAUCACAGUGAUAAGUAGGAUGUGUGCUUGUAAAUUGCUAAUUCUUGUUUCACCAGAAUUUGAUGUCAUCUCGUGGUUAUUACAGCUGUCCAAUUACAAAUGAUCAAAUUGGAUUAUUGUUAAUUAGUGGGUCUGUCUACUUCUGUACAAUGAUACAGAAGUCUUGUUGGCUGAAUUUAUCUGUUUAAGUGGUCUGUAUUCAGAUGUAGAAAGCCAAAUGUCCUGUUUGAAAUCAAAAC
This 2361-nucleotide long non-coding RNA is filed under the name Mus musculus (house mouse). RNAcentral describes it as "long non-coding RNA chr7:91666959-91669320". The record is from RNAcentral. Lineage: Eukaryota; Metazoa; Chordata; Mammalia; Rodentia; Muridae.